AGUGAACGCUGGCGGUAUGCCUAACACAUGCAAGUCGAACGGCAGCACAGUAACUUCUUGCUGUUGCGGGUUGCGAGUCGCGGGCGGGAGACAUAUACACAGGAAUUUUCUUUUGCGAGGGCCAUAACGAAGGCAAACUUAUGCCAAUAACGAACACCACCUAAGAGCGAAAGCAGGUCAUCCUUCGCCCUUGCGCGUUGGCAUAUGCCGAUGUCGGAUUAGCUAGUUGGCGGGGUAAAGGCCUACCAAGGCGACGAUCCGUAGCUGGUCUGAGAGGAUGACCAGCCACACUGGAACUGAGACACGGUCCAGACUCCUACGGGAGGCAGCAGUGGGGAAUAUUGGACAAUGGGCGAAAGCCUGAUCCAGCAAUGCCGCGUGGGUGAAGAAGGCCUUCGGGUUGUAAAGCCCUUUUGUUGGGAAAGAAAAGCAUGGGGCUAAUACCGCGGUGUUAUGACGGUACCCAAAGAAUAAGCACCGGCUAACUACGUG
RNAcentral lists this ribosomal RNA (492 nucleotides) under uncultured bacterium. RNAcentral describes it as "partial 16S ribosomal RNA". It matches the Rfam family "Bacterial small subunit ribosomal RNA", at positions 29 to 507 of the family's 1533-position model. The record is from RNAcentral.